This 2211-nucleotide unclassified non-coding RNA is filed under the name Hevea brasiliensis (rubber tree). Lineage: Eukaryota; Viridiplantae; Streptophyta; Magnoliopsida; Malpighiales; Euphorbiaceae. The record is from RNAcentral.
GUCAAAUGUCAAACAUUCCCCACCAGCCUUUUCGAUCCUUGCCCUUGCUGUCUCAGUAAACCUCAGAGCAGCAACUUUCAAUGCUGGGACUUCAUAGACACGAAUAUCAUCGGUAAUAGUCCCAACAACAACUGCAAUCUUACUUUCCUUUCCUUUCAUGAACUGGAUAAGCCUAGACAGCGAAAGUGGAGGCUUGUUAACCUUGCUCAUAAACAAGCGCUUGAGAAUCACAGCAUUGAAAUUGCUUCCAGUCCGACGGACAAGGAAGCGGUAAAGCUUGACGAGUAACUUUAGGUAGAUAUCAUCAGACUUGGGUGCAGUUCUCUUGGUCUUCUUACUCUUACCUCCUGCUACGAGAUCGAUCCCCAUUGCAAAUGCUUUCCGAGUUUCAGCAGCCGCCGCCGGUGUGGAGGAAAGGGGAGAGUCAUCAUCGCCAAGAAUAAAGAGACUGCACCCCAUAGCUGGUGUGCUAAAAGCCGCCAAUGCCUGAGCCUGCAACAGUGACCCUGUAACAAAUCCACCACCAAUCUCUGUCCCACCACAAUAUUCGAUGAUAGGCUUAUAACAAGCUCUUCCCAUUAGCCAUAGGUAUUCAUCUACGCUAGAUGCUUCUCCAGUGGAGGCAAAACAACGGAUGGAAGACCAAUCAUAACCCGAUGUGCAGUUUGUACUUUUCCAUGAACGGACAAUACUUGGAAUCACCCCAAGCAUUGUUGUUUUAGCAUCCUGUACAAAUUUAACAAAUCCAGAACUAAGAGGGGAUCCAUUGUAUAAUGCUAUGGAAGCCUUGUUUAAUAAUGAAGCAUAAACUAACCAUGGACCCAUCAUCCAUCCAAGAUUAGUGGGCCAAGCAACAACAUCGCCUUUAUGAAUGUCCAUGUGGCACCAUGCAUCGGCUGCAGCUUUCAAAGGUGUUACAAGGGUCCAUGGAAUUGCUUUUGGCUCUCCUGUCGUUCCCGAUGAAAAAAGGAUAUUUGUAAAUGAUUCCGCAGAUUGCUCCACUGCAGAAAAUUCCACUCCUUUCAGAUCUUUGACUCUGUCCAGAAAGGCAUGCCAAGAAAUAUCACCAUCUCGAAGUUCCAUGCUAAAACCAGUGCUAUUGAUCGGAAUUACGAUUGCCAGAGGUGCCCGAGCAUCUACAACUCGACUAUACAAGGGUAUACUUUUAUCCCCACGAAUAAUAAGAUCCUGAGUAAAUAUAGCUUUUGCUUUUGAUAUAUCAAGUCUUGUGGAUAUUUCACGUGCAGCAAAACUAUCAGCUAUGGAGACAACCACAUGACCAGCCAGAACUAUAGCAAGAUAGAUGACCACAGCAUUUACAUUCAUUGGCAUGUCAAUUGCUAUUGCAGUUCCUUUCUCAAAACCUAUUGAGUUGAGCGCAUGUGCAACUAACCAAACCUCUGCACGCAAUUCCCUAAGUGUCAAUCUCUUCAGAGGCAGAUCAUCACAUCCUUCAUCACGCCAUAUGAUUACUACAUCAUCCAAACUUCUGUUCUCAUUUAAAGAUAAACAAUCUUUAGCUGGAUUAAACACUGCUCUAGGAAGCCAUUGACCACCCGGGCUUGAAAAUUUGCUUUCAGGAGAAUCGUCUAUUUGCAAGAUACAGUUAGGAGGCUUAGAAAAUGUUAUAUUCAUCUCAUCUAGUACCGUUCUCCAGUAGACCUCGGGGUUUGAAACUGAAAACUCCUGGAAAGAGGAGAUGCUUGAUGAGGGGUCUCUAUAACUUGACCCCAAAAACUCUUUCCCUCGCCUCUCUAAUAACUUGCCGACAUUUGUGAAAACUGCAUUCUCCGGUUCAGGAAUCCAAGCUGGCGGAUCAGGACCAUAGUUUUUGUAACAACCGUAAUACAUCAUCUGAUGGAAGGAGAAUGGAAGGUCAGGGCUAAGGACUCGCUUGGAGAUAUGGUGCCAAGUCUCAGGAGUGCCAUUCCCAUAGGUACGGAUGAUUUCGCCCAAACGUCCAUGGAGUUGCUCGGCAACUUCAGAACCAAUUCCAAGAGCUUCAAUAUCAAUCACAGUAAUGGAGUCCAGAGCUUUCCAAUCCAUCGGAGAUUUACAGAGAGCUAACUGCUAAUGAGAAACAAUCAUUCACACACCACCUUAAACCAGAAUUUCGAAAUAGUUUUUACGAUUUAAUUUGCUUAAUUUCUGAACCAAAUGAAUGAUCACGAGAUGGUUGGUUCAUCAUGUAAGCAAAUCGAAUUGAAUUUU